RNAcentral lists this ribosomal RNA (761 nucleotides) under Prevotella melaninogenica. RNAcentral describes it as "bacterial SSU rRNA". It matches the Rfam family "Bacterial small subunit ribosomal RNA", at positions 28 to 776 of the family's 1533-position model. The record is from RNAcentral. Lineage: Bacteria; Pseudomonadati; Bacteroidota; Bacteroidia; Bacteroidales; Prevotellaceae.
GAUGAACGCUAGCUACAGGCUUAACACAUGCAAGUCGAGGGGAAACGGCAUUAAGUGCUUGCACUUUUUGGACGUCGACCGGCGCACGGGUGAGUAACGCGUAUCCAACCUUCCCAUGACUAAGGGAUAACCUGCCGAAAGGCAGACUAAUACCUUAUGGUCUUCACUGACGGCAUUAGAUGUGAAGUAAAGAUUUAUCGGUUAUGGAUGGGGAUGCGUCUGAUUAGUUAGUUGGCGGGGUAACGGCCCACCAAGGCAACGAUCAGUAGGGGUUCUGAGAGGAAGGUCCCCCACAUUGGAACUGAGACACGGUCCAAACUCCUACGGGAGGCAGCAGUGAGGAAUAUUGGUCAAUGGGCGAGAGCCUGAACCAGCCAAGUAGCGUGCAGGACGACGGCCCUAUGGGUUGUAAACUGCUUUUGUAUGGGGAUAAAGUCAAUCACGUGUGAUUGUUUGCAGGUACCAUACGAAUAAGGACCGGCUAAUUCCGUGCCAGCAGCCACGGUAAUACGGAAGGUCCGGGCGUUAUCCGGAUUUAUUGGGUUUAAAGGGAGCGUAGGCUGGAGAUUAAGUGUGUUGUGAAAUGUAGACGCUCAACGUCUGACUUGCAGCGCAUACUGGUUUCCUUGAGUACGCACAACGUUGGCGGAAUUCGUCGUGUAGCGGUGAAAUGCUUAGAUAUGACGAAGAACUCCGAUUGCGAAGGCAGCUGACGGGAGCGCAACUGACGCUGAAGCUCGAAGGUGCGGGUAUCNAACAGG